RNAcentral lists this ribosomal RNA (421 nucleotides) under uncultured bacterium. Its description in RNAcentral is "bacterial SSU rRNA". It matches the Rfam family "Bacterial small subunit ribosomal RNA", at positions 362 to 776 of the family's 1533-position model. The record is from RNAcentral.
UCUUGCGCAAUGGGCGAAAGCCUGACGCAGCGACGCCGCGUGAGUGAUGAAGGCCCUCGGGUUGUAAAGCUCUGUGGGGAGAGAAGAAUAAGUGCAGGCUAAUACUCUGCAUGAUGACGGUAUCUCCUUAGCAAGCACCGGCUAACUCUGUGCCAGCAGCCGCGGUAAGACAGAGGGUGCAAACGUUGUUCGGAAUCACUGGGCGUAAAGCGCGUGUAGGCGGCUUCUCAAGUCGGGUGUGAAAUCCCAGGGCUCAACCCUGGAAGUGCAUUCGAAACUGGGUCGCUAGAGUACUGGAGAGGAAGGUGGAAUGCUUGGUGUAGAGGUGAAAUUCGUAGAUAUCAAGCGGAACACCGGUGGCGAAGGCGGCCUUCUGGACAGAUACUGACGCUGAGACGCGAAAGCGGGGGGAGCAAACAGG